This is an RNA transcript of Helicoverpa armigera (cotton bollworm), 1031 nucleotides long. RefSeq lists it as uncharacterized. The transcript has 3 exons. Lineage: Eukaryota; Metazoa; Arthropoda; Insecta; Lepidoptera; Noctuidae. The record is from RefSeq and is a predicted model, not a curated record.
UGAAGAUAUUUUAGAACGACUUUCUUAGUACAUAGUUUUGCAUUCAGUUCGAAAUAUGCUGUCUUUGGAAACUCUUUGAUAUAGGAAUUCUGUGGCCCUCCGAAUUUCUUUGGCAAAGGAUACCUUCAAAAUUUUGACAAAAUGCAACGAUUACAACAGGUGAAGAUGUUGAACAACCUCUAUGGAGCAGUUUGCGACAACCAGUACCUUCUGACCGCCAUGCCUGGGAUGGCAAGGCGAAUUCCCGCCAGACGUAAUCUAAGCGAUGACAAACCUGAAUGGGAGAACACGUCGGAUAAUUUAACUACUUACGAACAAGAGAAUAAGGUGUCAGAUAUCCUGGACACCUGGCGUGACCCUCUCACAACGAAGGUACAGCUGGGGAAUCCACCCGAUGAGCAGGAUGACGAGAAUUUCAAGGGCCACAAUCUCUCCUUGCUGUGAAGAGUUGAAAAAGAUGAGCUAGUCUAAAUUUUUCGUUUAAAAAACACAUAUUUUAUGAACUUGAGUUUGGCCGACUUUUGAACAAGCUUGGUUCAUCUGCAGUUCUUGUGUGAUUGUAGAUUUAUAAGUGUAAGACAACGAUGGGUGUACUUGAUCAACUGGACCCAACUUGCCGAUUUAGAACUGAAAAGACUUUGGUAUUUUAAGUCUUUUGUCUUGCAAUGUAUUGAUCUGCAAUGGUGCAAUAAGACAGGAGUAUACUUAGGUUAACUUUCUUUAAAAAUUAUUUGAUUUUUUGUCGUUCUUUGACACGCAAAUGUAGAUCGACAACUCUUUAAUAGAGACAGGAGAUAAGAUAUUUCCAAUCCCACUAAAAGGGAUUUCAUCCAACUUUUCCAAAAUUUCUAAUGCAAGAAUGAGUAGGUAAACAUAUUUUUUAUCAAAGCACUGGCGUCAUCUGUCGAGCCUUUUCCCGACUAUGUUGGGGUCGGCUUCCAGUCUAAUCUUAUGCAGCUCAGUUCCCAGUGCGUUGCAUGGAGCGACUGCCUAUCGGACCUCAACCCUGUUACCGAUACCUUCCCCUUGGU